RNAcentral lists this ribosomal RNA (497 nucleotides) under uncultured bacterium. RNAcentral describes it as "partial 16S ribosomal RNA". It matches the Rfam family "Bacterial small subunit ribosomal RNA", at positions 28 to 507 of the family's 1533-position model. The record is from RNAcentral.
GAUGAACGCUGGCGGCGUGCCUAAUACAUGCAAGUCGAGCGAACAGACGAGGAGCUUGCUCCUUUGACGUUAGCGGCGGACGGGUGAGUAACACGUGGAUAACCUACCUAUAAGACUGGGAUAACUUCGGGAAACCGGAGCUAAUACCGGAUAACAUGUUGAACCGCAUGGUUCAACAGUGAAAGACGGUCUUGCUGUCACUUAUAGAUGGAUCUGCGCCGCAUUAGCUAGUUGGUAAGGUAACGGCUUACCAAGGCAACGAUGCGUAGCCGACCUGAGAGGGUGAUCGGCCACACUGGAACUGAGACACGGUCCAGACUCCUACGGGAGGCAGCAGUAGGGAAUCUUCCGCAAUGGGCGAAAGCCUGACGGAGCAACGCCGCGUGAGUGAAGAAGGUCUUCGGAUCGUAAAACUCUGUUAUUAGGGAAGAACAAAUGUGUAAGUAACUAUGCACGUCUUGACGGUACCUAAUCAGAAAGCCACGGCUAACUACGUG